GUACCCGUAGCUCAGCUGGAUAGAGUGCCUGGCUACGGACCAGGAGGUCGGGGGUUCGAAUCCCUCCGGGUACGCCA
Molecule: transfer RNA, 77 nt
Filed under: Candidatus Hydrogenedentota bacterium
Lineage: Bacteria; Pseudomonadati; Candidatus Hydrogenedentota
Also listed under: 2 other names
Description: Candidatus Hydrogenedentes bacterium tRNA-Arg
Rfam family: tRNA
About the family: Transfer RNA (tRNA) molecules are approximately 80 nucleotides in length. Their secondary structure includes four short double-helical elements and three loops (D, anti-codon, and T loops).
Source: RNAcentral